This is a long non-coding RNA of Carcharodon carcharias (great white shark), 551 nucleotides long. RefSeq lists it as uncharacterized. The transcript is spliced from 3 exons. Lineage: Eukaryota; Metazoa; Chordata; Chondrichthyes; Lamniformes; Lamnidae. The record is from RefSeq and is a predicted model, not a curated record.
CAAAGGAGGAGGAAAAACCUGCCGUCUGGACCGACAUCAUUUCACAUUCAUUAACUGUGUUUUUGGGAAGAUGAAGGAGAACAGACAAGGGGUAACCUAAUCUUACAGCUCAAGAUAAAUUUAAGUCCACCAUUUGCUACUUACCAAACAUGGAACUGACUGAUCCAGCCAUUAGCACUUGCUGACUCGAGUUGAACACCUCCACAUCAAUUAUUCCUUUGCGGAUGGUCUCACUGACUCUGGCACCCAACAGCACAGAACCCACUGUCUCGAAGAUGGUUGCCAAGACACAGGCCUUCCUGAGUGUCAGUACUCCCGAACCAACCGCCGUCCCAAAUGAAUUGGCAACGUCAUUGGCCCCCACCGAAAACGCCAGAAUAAAUGCAAUGAUGAAACCAACUACAACCAUCCACACGUACUCAUCUAGUGCCAUGGUCACUCGGGCUUGUAAUGCUUUUUAGAGGUACUGAGUUUUAAAAAAAUACUAUUGACUUAAAUAUACAAAAUAAGGUAACAAAAUAUUUGGAUAUGUAAUAAAUAACUGGAUUAAA